CGUAGGGUGCGAGCGUUGUCCGGAAUUACUGGGCGUAAAGGGCGUCGUAGGUGGUUUGUCGCGUCGUCUGUGAAAUUCCGGGGCGUUAACUCCGGGCGGUGCAGGCGAUACGGGCAUAACUUGGGUACUGUAGGGGUAACUGGAAUUCCUGGUGUAGCGGUGAAAUGCGCAGAUAUCAGGAGGAACACCGAUGGCGAAGGCAGGUUACUGGGCAGUUACUGACGCUGAGGAGCGAAAAGCAUGGGUAGCGAACAGGAUU
Molecule: ribosomal RNA, 259 nt
Filed under: uncultured bacterium
Lineage: Bacteria
Description: partial 16S ribosomal RNA
Rfam family: Bacterial small subunit ribosomal RNA
Source: RNAcentral